This 253-nucleotide ribosomal RNA is filed under the name uncultured prokaryote. Its description in RNAcentral is "partial 16S ribosomal RNA". It matches the Rfam family "Bacterial small subunit ribosomal RNA", at positions 524 to 776 of the family's 1533-position model. The record is from RNAcentral.
GACGUAGGGGGCAAGCGUUGUCCGGAAUCAUUGGGCGUAAAGAGCGUGUAGGCGGCCCGGUAAGUCCGCUGUGAAAGCCCCGGGCUCAACCUGGGAAUGGCGUUGAAGACUGUUUGACUUGAGUCGGAUAGAGGGUUGUGGAAUUUCCGGUGUAGCGGUGAAAUGCGUAGAGAUCGGAAAGAACACCGGUGGCGAAGGCGGCAACCUGGAUCCAGACUGACACUGAGGGGCGAAGGCGUGGGGAGCAAACAGG